ACUUAAAUCAUGGUGUGCUGGUUGUGGGUUAUAACAAUUCCAGCAAGGGCAAUGGCUAUUGGAUUGUAAAGAACAGCUGGUCCAAUCUUUGGGGUGAGAAAGGUUACAUGCGCUUAGCCAAAGGAUCAAAUGAAUGCAACAUCGCCGAUUACGCCAUCUUUCCUCUCCCAGAUCCAAAGAAGGGAAUGUAAUUUCUUCUUUCAGCAUAAGGAUCAUUUGAAAUGCAGAGCUAAUAGUUACCAAUGAAUGACCUGCUGCUUCUGAAGCUUCUGGAAGAAAAAAAAAAUGCUAAUAAAUGCUUUGGGGCAAUGCUA
Non-coding RNA from Notechis scutatus (mainland tiger snake), 314 nucleotides. The record is from RefSeq and is a predicted model, not a curated record. Lineage: Eukaryota; Metazoa; Chordata; Lepidosauria; Squamata; Elapidae.